UGUCACUUUGUUAUGAUGGCUGUUGUUUUUGUUUUGACCAUGGACCGUUCUGUGCUUUUGGUUGAUUAUUGGACUGUUUCGACUGAGUAUCGCAAACAAUCUAAAUAUAGGCGUCUCUAAGCUCCCCGCAUCAUACUGCUUCUCUGGUGUCUUGUUGCCAUUGGCAAAGAAAGAGAAGAAAUAAAAUCGUGACAGGGGACACGCAAAUUCUGGAGAGAAAAAAAACCCUGAAUGUCAGGAGGCAGUUUAGUCAACAAACAGCACCCAAAGCAAGCGACAGAUGUUCCGAAAAUACUGGUUAGGCAAACAACAGAUGCAAGCUGGGAAACGCUCGCGCUGCCGGUCCGCUGCUCCGCCGGAUUUGCCUUUAAGCCUCGCGGAAUAGAACUCUGCCGUGCCAUCAUGUUGACAAAUGUGAAUGCGCUCUUCUUCUCCCGAUGCAAUGCAAAUCUGUCCCCUUGAACAGAAGGAAAGACGUAACAAAAGCUGUUGGUGUUUUAUCAUGGGAAGCGGGAAAGCGCUGUUGGAAUGCUGCCCGGUAGCACGCGGCGCACUCUGCCUCCUCCACGCGCACACUCUGCACGGUCGGGAACUCUGACUGCCGCCCUCGCACUCAGGGUAUGCACACACGCACACCACACUACACACCCCGUAUGUCCCACGCAGGCAGCCUCUCGCUGACAUCGAGGCACGCGGCUGCUGCUAACGGACUGUCUCUUCUCCACACGCAUCGCGAGGUGAAAUAGAGCACCACGCACAUCACACAUCACAUCGCAUCACAGUCAGUCCAUACGCCGACACCUACGGUUGCCUACUACACAACUCACGACAGAACAGCAACUCACCCACCACAGCACAGACUUCACAGCCACUCAACACAAGCACAAGAACUCAGUAGACUACACAGAACAACAGUGUAAGUUCAGUGGGGGGGCAAAACUCGAGAAGAGAGGAGCUAGGGAAGGACAAGAGGGGUUUGCAAGUAGAGACAAAAACCGUGCAGAGAGAGAAGAGGCAGAGAUAAAUUAAAAAAAAAUAGAGAGAGAGAGAGAGAGAGAGAGAGAGAGAGAGAGAGAGAGAGAGAGAGAGAGAGAGAUCAACAGAGUGCACAGCUGGGAGCUUAGAUAGAGUGAGGGAGUGAUUGCGAGUGUAUAUGUGCCAGAGAGAGAAAGAAAGAGAGAAUAAGAAAGAAAGAUAGAGACGUUGAGACACAGAGAGAGAGAGGGAGAGAGUCUCAAAGGGACGGACACUACUCGCCUUGGGCAGGGAGAGGCGUGUAUUUGUGUUUGUGUGUGUGGGUGGGAACCUGGUGUUUGUGCAUGUGUGUGUGUCUGUGUGUGUGCUGAAAGGCACUAGCUACAGCGUGUGUGUGCCUGUGUGUAUGAGAGAGAGAGCCAGACAGUCUUGGUCAGAAGUAAAGCUUAAAAGAAGCCACGCAGUGGCCGAGACUGAGAGAAAGGGGAGGGUGCCUGCCCCGCGUAGGCUAUAUGCCUGAGAGAGAGAGAGAGAGAGAGAGAGAGAGAGAGAGAGAGAGAGAGAGAGAGAGAGAAUAGGCAGUGUGUCUGCUUGUGCAUGUCUGGGAGAGAGAAACAGAGAGAGAGAAUAGGGAGCGUGUCUGCUUCUGUGUGCCUGUGAGAGAGAAACACAGAGAGAGAGAGAGAGAAUAGGGGGUGUGCGUGAGUGAGUGUGUGUGAGAGUCAGAGGGAGGGAGAGAGCGAGAGAGAAUAGGGGGUGUGCGUGAGUGAGUGUGUGUGAGAGUCAGAGGGAGGGAGAGAGAGAGAGAAUAGGGGGUGUGCGUGAGUGAGUGUGUGUGAGAGUCAGAGGGAGGGAGAGAGAGAGAGAGAAUAGGGGGUGUGCGUGAGUGAGUGUGUGUGAGAGUCAGAGGGAGGGAGAGAAACACCACUUGACAGAGGCAGGCGGAAGCUCAUUGAGCGCGAGAGAGCGAAGAGAAGGGAAGAGAAGAGAAGCGUCUCUGUCUCAAUCAAGAGGAGAGGAGAGGAGACUACAGGACUGACUGGCACCGGGGGCAGCCGACUGACCACAGCUGACAACAACAACAAUAACAACAACAACAACAACAGGUGAACACCAGAGUGCUGGGACUCAGGUGGUGCGCACCACGGCGACAGGAGAAAGGCAACAUCCAGGACCUGAAGCAACAGGAGAAACGCAGCGUCCAGGACCUGAAGCAACAGGAGAAACGCAGCGUCCAGGACCUGAAGCGACAGGAGAAACGCAGCAUCCAGUACCUGAAGCGACAGGGGAAAGGCAGCGUCCAGGACCUGAAGCGACAGUGAGGUGUCAGCCACUCUGCCAGGUGGAUGUCAGCAGGUGGCUCUAAGCUUGGCUGCGUUGCUUCUUCAGGCCCCAGAGGUGAUACUGGGACUUCUGAGGAGAAACGAAAGCAGAAAACCUUCAGGGGAAAAGUUUUUUUUUUGUCAAGUGGAGUGGCGGUGUCCAACCAGACACUGAGGAAGCUCCAUAGGAAAGGGGCAAAACCUGAAGUCCAGUUGUUGCUUUGCUGACAGCUAAAUCCUGUGGAUAACAACAUGACAUGAAAAUGACUUCCAGACAUUUAAAAAAACUUAAUGAUGCCUCUGAGCUGCUUUGCAACCACUGUGUGUUGUAACAGUCACAGUUAACAGUCAGGUUCAGCCAACACAUCACAGUGUGGAAAUAGCAGGGAGGGGAGAUACAACUACUGGCACUCAUCUGGUCAAUGAAGCAACAAAUACGGUAGACCAUAAUAUUCAGCGUCUCCAGGACAACCAAGGAGGAGCAUUGAUCCACGUCUCACACUUGACUGUACAUGGAAUCUCACCUUUGUCUAUCCAGAGAAAAAAAACAUUACUAGUCAAGGAAGAAGCUAUUCUGUUCAAGGAAGCAACAAGCAUAACAUACCGUCUCCCAGACGACCAGGAAAGCAUUGAGUGGCAUCUCACACCUAGCCUGAUUAUCAUCGACUUUCAAAUCUCUUCUAGACUUGGUCUGACCAAGAACAUAACAAUUAUCGUUUCCCAAAAGGCAUGGUUGACCCGCCUCCGUAGUUUUGCUACUGGUUGAGUGGUGAAUGACAAAGUGGGUGGAGUUCCCGAUUUUUCGGGAGAUCAGAAACGAUAUUUACAUUGCUCUUAGCCUGACUAGAAACAACGCCUGGCUAUCUCACACCUGACCAUACAUAGACUCAUACCUUUUAUUCACACCUGACCUCACUCUUCAUGUCACCAAGUCAAAAGAAGCAACCAAUUGUGGUCAAGGAAGCAGCAAGAGGUAGACCGUACCGAAUACCUUCAACACAACCCCCCAGGAGAUCAUUCAGCCUCAUCUCAUACGCUUCAAUCACCCUUUUAAUCAUCUCCCCAGAGAGCAAAAAAAUAUUGCUAGUCAAGUAAGCAACAAGCCGACCCAUGUUAUCUCCUGGACUGGGCCAAAGACUGGAGACCAUUGGCAACAUCUCACAACUUUCCACACACAGUCUUUCACCUUUUACAUCAUUAUAUUACAUUACGUUACAUUAAGCAGACGCCUUUGACCAAAGCGACUUCCGAGGAGAAAAUUUAAGCAAGGACAUCACAUUACUUUACAUGACAUUUAGCUGAGGCUUUUCUAUAAAGUUCACUUGUAGAGAG
Long non-coding RNA from Engraulis encrasicolus (European anchovy), 3629 nucleotides. RefSeq lists it as uncharacterized. The transcript is spliced from 3 exons. NCBI's taxonomy places the organism in Eukaryota, Metazoa, Chordata, Actinopteri, Clupeiformes, Engraulidae. The record is from RefSeq and is a predicted model, not a curated record.